This is an unclassified non-coding RNA of Erinaceus europaeus (western European hedgehog), 325 nucleotides long. Its record names the gene 7SK. It matches the Rfam family "7SK RNA". Rfam says of the family: 7SK was discovered as an abundant small nuclear RNA in the mid-70s but a possible function has only recently been suggested. The record is from Ensembl. NCBI's taxonomy places the organism in Eukaryota, Metazoa, Chordata, Mammalia, Eulipotyphla, Erinaceidae.
GAAUGUGGGGGUGAGCUGGCUGCAAGAUCUGUCACCCCAUUAAUGCCAGGGUUGAUUCAGCUGAUCUGGCUGGCUAGGCGGGUGUCCCCUUCCUCGCUCAUGCUCCAUGUGUGUCCCUCCCAAAGCUGCAUGCUUAGUUGAAGAGGAUGGCCUUCACCAAAUAGAGACAUACCAGUCUUAGGUCAAGGGUAUACAAGUAGCUGUACUCCCCUGCUAGAACCUCCAAACAAGCUCUCAAGGUCCAUUUGUAGGAGAACAUAGGCAGUCAAGCUUCCAAGACUCCAGACACAUCCAAAUGAGCCACUUCAUUUGGCAGUCUUUCUUA